RNAcentral lists this unclassified non-coding RNA (210 nucleotides) under Hevea brasiliensis (rubber tree). Lineage: Eukaryota; Viridiplantae; Streptophyta; Magnoliopsida; Malpighiales; Euphorbiaceae. The record is from RNAcentral.
UAUCAGAUACUCCUCUAUAAUUUUCCAGGCGGCCCUACUUUCUCUAGAGCAAUGUACUUCACGUGCGUGCUCUUUUCCUGGCUUAGCCGUUCUAAACAUAAGUAUGAUGACAAAUAUUAAAAGGGUAACCUUCAAAACAAAAUUAAUAACACCAUCUCCCAAAUUCAAGAAAGGUAUCGAUAUUGCUUAUCAAAAUCACCAGCAAAGUAA